UGGGGAAUAUUGGACAAUGGGCGAAAGCCUGAUCCAGCCAUGCCGCGUGAGUGAUGAAGGUCUUCGGAUCGUAAAGCUCUGUGGGAAGGGACGAAAAAGCCGGUCCUAAUACGACCGGCCUUGACGGUACCUUCUUAGCAAGCACCGGCUAACUCCGUGCCAGCAGCCGCGGUAAUACGGAGGGUGCAAACGUUGCUCGGAAUCAUUGGGCGUAAAGCGCACGUAGGCGGUCCGCUAAGUCGGGUGUGAAAUCCCUCAGCUCAACCGAGGAAGGGCAUCCGAAACUGACGGGCUUGAGUACGGAAGAGGGUCUCGGAAUUCCCGGUGUAGAGGUGAAAUUCGUAGAUAUCGGGAGGAACACCAGUGGCGAAGGCGGAGACCUGGGCCGAUACUGACGCUGAGGUGCGAAAGCGUGGGGAGCAAACAG
Molecule: ribosomal RNA, 427 nt
Filed under: uncultured bacterium
Lineage: Bacteria
Description: bacterial SSU rRNA
Rfam family: Bacterial small subunit ribosomal RNA
Source: RNAcentral